UUUUUUUGAUGACUGGUUGUCAUUUUAAAGAUAAUUUCAAAAUGUCAUUUCCUAGUUUUAACAACCAAAAUCAAGCACCAUAGACAGGAACAGGUAGUAAUCACUUGGUGGUAUUGAGAAAAAAAUAUAAAUUUCAAGAGACAUAGUUGUAUUUGAAGUUUAAAACAAAAUGUCACAAACUUAUAAAGCUGAAUUCGUUGUUUCAAUUAUAGGGGAAAUUAUUAAGUAAGAGGCAAUUGGAUUUGGAUGAAAGUCAGAAUAUUAAUGUAUUACACACAAAAACUCAAAAUGUAAUUAAAUGGAGAAAACCACCAAAAACAAAUCAGAAAUUUUAAAUUGAAUAUUAUAUUGUGUUCGAAGGCGAUAAAGUGGAAAACAAAGUGGAAAAUAUCAUAAAGGGCGGGUCUAAAACUUAAACUUUAGCCAAAGUCUUGUAACGCACACAAACGCAUACAUACAAACAUAUAUGUUGAGGUAUUCAAAAGUGUCGCACAAAACUGCUAAUAUUCGCACUCGCUCUGUCAUUUGAAUGUUUUAUUGAGCAGCCGCAGCCACAGUGCCAGCCGCAGGAACUUGCAACAGCUGUCCGAAAAUAUAUCACUUUUUUGCGUCGAUUUGUUAUGGAAACAAAGUUGGCGUGUGCUUACGCACACAGAUAAAGGCAAAUAAGCAAUUUAUAGGCAAUAUGCUUGAAUUGGAAUUUCUAAUAGAGAUAAAAUCUCAAAUAUUGAAAUAAUAGUGUUUAUUAUUGCACUCAAGAUAAAGAAGUACUAUCCAAGAGUUUUCCCACAGCGAAAAAGCUCCUCAAAAAGGUUCAAAAUAGACCAACCAUCCUCAAAACUAAGGUUAAAUGUUUCCAUUAUUUUCUGCUUGUUACUAUUUAAUUACAAGUACUUAAGAAAUAAGGAAAACAGUAAAAGAAAUCGGAGCUCAUAACGGAUUUCUGUGCGAAAAGCUAAAUACGAUAAAAUAAAUUAUGUAGAAUUGCUAAAAAAGUCCCAGCAAAGUAAAAAAUGGUAAACUUCGGCGAAAUGCCCAGAAUUUCGAUUGCAACUUGGACUAAAUUUAAUGAGGCAACUUUGUAACAAAAUCAUUAAAUAAUUGUAGAAAUAUGCAGCGGCGUGCAACAGAAAUACCAUACAAUAGUAUAGUAAAUUAAAAAAUAGAAUUAAGAAAAACACAAAAAAUUAAACAAAUAACAAAAACCAAAACCAAAAAACACCGCAGGAAAGGAUACAAAGGAAUAUUUCCACUUCUAAGGAAGUGCGUGCUGGUGGCAUUUGAAAGCAGCGAGAGAAAAUGAAAGAGGCACAACAACAAAGUUGUUGUUGAAACAACUACAAAAGUAUGCUUGAAAAACACCGAAAGUCACGAAAGGCCUUGAACAUUUGCGCUGACGGAAAACAAUGUAUGAAAAAAGCAUAAAAAACUAUGAUGAAAAUGGCGAAUUAAAUACACAAAAAUCAAAGUCAAGAAGAAAUAUAUUCCAAAAUCAAAUAACCCACCAAAACCGUGACCUCAGCCAAGCAUAACAUACAAUUUAGCCUCAAACUAGAAAAUGCUAAACGCCCCCCUACUUCACUUACUAAAAUAGCAUUCGCUGAACAUCGCAGAGCUCAAAACUUGGGCCAUUAUUCAAACAGCCAAGCGUGAGUUCAACCAAUUGUAGAGUAAGAAUUGACAGUUACAUUGCCGAGGAGAGCCGAGGACGAGACACUGCUUGCCUCUUGGACUCUUUGUAGAAGUCGGUAUUUACUGAAUCGCUAAUAUUUUUAAAGAUAUAAUAGAAGAAGCAAAAAAAAGAAUCAACUAAAAGAACAAGUGUAAUAUAGGAAGAGAAUGCCAAAAUUGACAGAAAGGGAAGUUAAGAGUGGAGGUGCUUUGAGCUAAUAAAUUUUAGAUAAGCUAAACAGAGGCUAUUGGUGAUAUGAUAUAAUCAAUGGGCUUGACUCAGGCUUGAAAGCAAUGGUAAGGUAGGUGCUUUCUAACCAGAUAAUUGAUCUAGCUUUAUAUACUAUUUGGCGUACUCUGUUGCUUGCACUGGUACUGGGCCGCUGUCAGAGAUAACUCCAAAGUUCAUUAUAAUAUUGGUAAAAAAUGUUGUAUAAAUAAAUGCGGCGCCGCCGGCUAAUUAAACAAAACUUUAAAUCAUUCACAUGCACGCACAAACUCCCUCAUAUACACAAAUAUGUUAACAUGUGUAUGUCUUCAUUUGAAAUGCACUUGAAUGCGAGUGGCGAGCAGUCGGUCAUUGCGGCUUCCCUUUGUUUUGCUGUUGACAUUUCUUUGUAUCACAGUGUAAGCACAUGUCAGUGAAAUGGACAAACAAGUAGGCAGACAGAUAGACAGAUGGACGGGUAUGCAGAGAUAUAUAGGAGGAGAGACAUGCGGUCUGUGAGUUGGUAAUAAUGCAAGAGCAAGUGGUGAUUAAAGUGCAAUGGUUACUUUAGUAAAAAGAGAAAACUCAAAAAAAGAAAUUACAACAAUACCAACAAACAAUACAAGUUUUAAUACAAUAGCAAUAAUGUGCCAGCCGCCAUCUAUUGUGCGGCGGUUAUCGCUUGUGACCUCCCAGUCAUUUAUUAACGCAGUCACGUGUUUUUGCAGCAUAUUACAAAUAAAAUGGAUGUGAGAUUUCAGUACUUUUCGUAUAUACUGUAUAGUUUUUUAAAUGCUGUUUACAUAUCUGAAAGGCUGCAACGAGGUAAAUUGUUACAUGUUAUCA
Molecule: non-coding RNA, 2725 nt
Organism: Bactrocera oleae (olive fruit fly)
Lineage: Eukaryota; Metazoa; Arthropoda; Insecta; Diptera; Tephritidae
Source: RefSeq, a predicted model, not a curated record